RNAcentral lists this unclassified non-coding RNA (387 nucleotides) under soil metagenome. RNAcentral's name for it is "partial contains 5.8S ribosomal RNA, internal transcribed spacer 2, and large subunit ribosomal RNA". The stretch from base 1 to 120 matches the Rfam family "5.8S ribosomal RNA", at positions 35 to 154 of the family's 154-position model. The record is from RNAcentral.
GAUGAAGAACGUAGCGAAAUGCGAUAAGUAAUGUGAAUUGCAGAAUUCAGUGAAUCAUCGAAUCUUUGAACGCACCUUGCACCCUUUGGCAUUCCGAAGGGUAUGCUCGUUUGAGUGUCAUUGUACUCUCACACUCUCCGAUCCUAUGGAUUCGGGGAGCGGUGGACUUGGGUGUUGCUGCCUUUCCUUGUGGCUCACCUCAAAUGCGUCAGUGCACCUCUUGGUUGGACAUAGUACGGCGUGAUAAGUGUCUUCGCCGGCACCUCGCAAGAGGGUGGCCGAUCGGGAGCUCUGCGCUUUCAAACCGUCUUCGGACAAUCCCUGACAACUUGACCUCAAAUCGAGUAGGACUACCCGCUGAACUUAAGCAUAUCAAUAAGCGGAGGA